RNAcentral lists this long non-coding RNA (1128 nucleotides) under Piliocolobus tephrosceles (Ugandan red Colobus). Its description in RNAcentral is "lncRNA (ENSPTEG00000024805.1)". Lineage: Eukaryota; Metazoa; Chordata; Mammalia; Primates; Cercopithecidae. The record is from RNAcentral.
CUGGGGAAAUUGCAACACGCUUCUUUAAAUGGCAGAGAGAAGGAGAAAACUUAGAUCUUCUGAUACCAAAUCACUGAACCUUGGAAGGUCAGAAAUCUUUCAAGCCCUGCAGGACCAUAAAAUGCCCGUGUCCAACAGAAGCACUGGGGCAUGAGUGGGGAAGGAAUAGAAACAGAGUCAGAAAGGGGAUAAGAGAAGAAUAAAAGGGAAAGUAGUGAAGGCAGGGAGGCAAAUUGCUUAGUGUGAAUAUGCACACGUUCAUUUAGUUUUCAAAUCCUUGUUGAGCAUGAUAAAGUUCCCAGCAUCAAUCCUCACGUGUUGGUUUCCAUUAGGAUCUGCCUGGGGGACUAUCUGCUGAAUCAGUGGCUCUGAGCUGAACCAGGAAAUUCACUAUGAUUAGGAGAGUCGCAGUGUUAGUCAGGGUCUCUCCGAAAAAAAGUUAUACCCAAGAGACAGGAUCUUCUGAUCCGAAAUUUUCUUCACUUCUGAAAUUCUCUGGUUUGUGCUCAUCAUUGGCAGCUAUUUGUUCAUCAAGAGUUGUGUAGUUGGCUUCUUCUGGAAAAAGGAAUCUGCGUCAUAUCUAAGUCAGAUUUCAUUCUGGUGCUCUCAGAGCAGUUAGCCCAGGAAAGGGGCCGGCUUCUGUGGCUACUGCUGCAGAGGCAGAUGCAGUUUGUGUCCCACAGAUAUUAACUUCGAUAAGCACUUAAUGAGGGCCUUCUCUGCGCGAGAAUGGGGAGGAACAAAAUGCAGCUCCUGCCCUCCUGGGGCUUUAGUUGUACCUUAGUAAGAGGAAUUUUCAUCUGCCUGGCUCCUUUCCUCAAAGAACAAAGAAGACUUUGCUUCAUUAAAGUGUCUGAGAAAGAAGAAUCUUGUAACAGACACUACUCAAUACAUUGAUCUCAACUGAUCCAGUUCUCCAGUCUCCCUGGAAAACAAUGGAUUGACGCCCAGGGUGCGCUGCACACCGGACCCACGGUCAUUUCUGCACUUCACACGAUUCUGCUCCCACCAGUUGAGCUACCAACAGUUCCUGGUGCUUUUGCUUCCCAAACAUGUUUAUGUCAUUUGUUGCUUAUUACUGUACUUACUUAAUUUGAUUAAACAUUAAGUAAAAUGAUGAAAUACGAG